This is a long non-coding RNA of Hypanus sabinus (Atlantic stingray), 1643 nucleotides long. RefSeq lists it as uncharacterized. NCBI's taxonomy places the organism in Eukaryota, Metazoa, Chordata, Chondrichthyes, Myliobatiformes, Dasyatidae. The record is from RefSeq and is a predicted model, not a curated record. The transcript is spliced from 3 exons.
GUAUCAGAGGUUAAAGUAUAUCAGAGUGUCCUAGAGCUGAAACAAGGACUGUUCCAUGUAUCCCAUGAAAAGGUGGAUGUAGCUCGGGCUCAUGAAUAUUCUCCUUUGAUUGGGAGAAACUGAGAAUUGAAAAGAUUGCUCAACACAAAUUCAAGUUCAAUCAGGUGAAGGAGUGUUUCCUAGUUCCACUGAUGUGUCUUCAACUUGAAAGAUUAAUUCUAAACAAGAUACAAGGUCAUGGGUACCAAUGGACAACCACCUUCAUAUCUUCCACUCUGGCUAUAUUCUCUAUGGGUUAAGUCAAGGUGUCUGAGGCUUCUCACUCAAGUGUCCAACAAUAAUCAGUCAGCGUGGAUGGAUUCCAGUUGCCCUGAUACCGUUUAUCCAUGACCACACUAACCUGGUGAAGCCUUUCACCAUGUUCAUCACUGACAGUGCCAAGAUUUGCAGGGAAGAUGUCUAAAUGGGAGCACAGAAAAUAAAUGUUUGGUGACAUGUUGCACUUCAUGAUUUUGUAUGCUUGAAGCAUGUUGUCGACCAGCUGCAGGUAGUUUGGUGCUCUAUAGUUGCCAAGAAAAUUUUCAAUAACAUCCUUGAAUGCAUUCCAUGCGAUUUUCUCUGGUCCCACUAGAAGGUCUUCAGAUUGCUUGUCAUUGAUGACCUAUUUGAUUAGUGGACCAACAAAAAUACCUUCCUUAAUCUUGAUAUCAGUUAUUUGGGAAACAUCUGUCUCAAAUAUCAAAAUCUUUCAUGGAAAUUUUUGUUCCUUGUGACAGCAGAUUCCAUUCUUGCAGUCUAGAACCCAGUAAUUCUGCUUUUGCCUCUGACAAACCCAAGUCUCUGACCAGGUUAUUUAACUCAGAGUGAGUUAUCAGAUGAGGCUCACUCAACGUAAAAAGUUCAAAAUCUGUAAGUGCUGUUUUCCAUUCCUGGCUUGUGCAUCAUGGCAUCUCUGUCUACCUCUUCUAGAUUCCAUGUCUCUAAUGGCAUUGGUACUGGAAGACUAUCGUGAUAUGGCAUAGGUCUCAUGGCUGAAGGGAGUUUGGUGUAUUCAACGGAUUUCUUGUUUUUAGCAGAGAAACCAGGCACAUUGGUGAGACAGAUAUAACAAUCUUGUCACAUGAUCCUCUGCUCUCGCCAUGUCAUCAGGACACCAGACGGCAUUGACAUCCAAGUACCUCUGAGCUAAGCUCUAAGAUCAACAGCGCAUGUUGUGUGACAAAUGUGUGGAACCCCAGGCUUUGUCUUGGUUGACAAAUUUACACCCAAAGUAGAGCUCAUAGGCUUUCUUAAUAAGAAGACUCAUGCCCCAUCUUUGAGAUUUAAGCAUAUACUUGCCACAGAUAUAACGAAGAAUUGUGGCUGUUCCAACAUUAGCAAGACAUUUUGCUGUCACAAAUAUUCCUGAAAAUACAUGCCUGGACAAGGUAGAAAACUUUUCUGCUUACGUUGUGGGCAACCUUUUAAUUGAUCUGAAUUAUGAAUUACAAUAACAAAAAUGGGUGAUUUUUUUCUAAAAAAUGGUACGUGAUAAGGAAAUACAAUGAUUUUCAUGAUCAGCUGACUAAAAUCAAUAAAAUACAUCCAGAAGUAUUCAGAAGCAAAAUCUUUGUUGUCCAGUGUAAUCUCUUCCCAUAGGAGAG